This 402-nucleotide ribosomal RNA is filed under the name uncultured bacterium. RNAcentral's name for it is "partial 16S ribosomal RNA". It matches the Rfam family "Bacterial small subunit ribosomal RNA", at positions 355 to 774 of the family's 1533-position model. The record is from RNAcentral.
UUGGGAAUAUUGCGCAAUGGACGACAGUCUGACGCAGCGACGCCGCGUGAAGGAUGAAGGUUUUCGGAUCGUAAACUUCUUUUAUAUGGGACGAUUGUGACGGUACCAUAUGAAUAAGGGCCUGCUAACUACGUGCCAGCAGCAGCGGUAAUACGUAGGGCCCGAGCGUUGUCCGGAUUUAUUGGGCGUAAAGAGUAUGUAGGUGGUCAUUUAAGUCGGAUUUUAAAUUCCCAGGCUCAACUUGGGUGCUGGAUUCGAAACUAUUUGACUUGAGGUUAUCAGGGGCAAGUGGAAUUAGCGGUGUAGCAGUGAAAUGCGUUGAUAUCGCUAAGAACACCAAUGGCGAAGGCAGCUUGCUAUGAUUUCUCUGACACUGAGAUACGAAAGCGUGGGGAGCGAACG